AUUGAACGCUGGCGGCAGGCCUAACACAUGCAAGUCGAACGGUAACAGGAAGAAGCUUGCUUCUUUGCUGACGAGUGGCGGACGGGUGAGUAAUGUCUGGGAAACUGCCUGAUGGAGGGGGAUAACUACUGGAAACGGUAGCUAAUACCGCAUAACGUCGCAAGACCAAAGAGGGGGACCUUCGGGCCUCUUGCCAUCGGAUGCGCCCAGAUGGGAUUAGCUAGUAGGUGGGGUAACGGCUCACCUAGGCGACGAUCCCUAGCUGGUCUGAGAGGAUGACCAGCCACACUGGAACUGAGACACGGUCCAGACUCCUACGGGAGGCAGCAGUGGGGAAUAUUGCACAAUGGGCGCAAGCCUGAUGCAGCCAUGCCGCGUGUAUGAAGAAGGCCUUCGGGUUGUAAAGUACUUUCAGCGGGGAGGAAGGGAGUAAAGUUAAUACCUUUGCUCAUUGACGUUACCCGCAGAAGAAGCACCGGCUAACUCCGUC
This 490-nucleotide ribosomal RNA is filed under the name uncultured bacterium. RNAcentral's name for it is "partial 16S ribosomal RNA". It matches the Rfam family "Bacterial small subunit ribosomal RNA", at positions 30 to 507 of the family's 1533-position model. The record is from RNAcentral.